GCAGGUGGUCGGGUUGAGAAUACUAAGGCGAUCGGGUGAACCGUGGUUAAGGAAUUCGGCAAAGUGACCCCGUAACUUCGGGAGAAGGGGUGCCGGAUGGGGUGAGCACCCGUGCGGUGGGAGCUCCGUUCGGCCGCAGGAAUCAGCCCGAGCGACUGUUUACUAAAAACACAGGUCCGUGCGAAGUCGUAAGACGCGGUAUACGGACUGACGCCUGCCCGGUGCCGGAACGUUACGAGGACCGGUUAGCCCCACGGGG
Molecule: ribosomal RNA, 259 nt
Filed under: Halostreptopolyspora alba
Lineage: Bacteria; Bacillati; Actinomycetota; Actinomycetes; Streptosporangiales; Nocardiopsidaceae
Description: Nocardiopsaceae bacterium YIM 96095 partial 23S ribosomal RNA
Rfam family: Bacterial large subunit ribosomal RNA
Source: RNAcentral